This is a long non-coding RNA of Myotis daubentonii (Daubenton's bat), 1754 nucleotides long. RefSeq lists it as uncharacterized. The record is from RefSeq and is a predicted model, not a curated record. Lineage: Eukaryota; Metazoa; Chordata; Mammalia; Chiroptera; Vespertilionidae.
AUUAGGCGGAGGCGAAGUGAAGAAAGCGGGGGCCAAAGUUGAAAAGUGGGCCCAAAUGAGACUUAGAAGUAGAAGAGCCUUUGGCUUAUGAGAUAAAGUGAAAAAAAAGGAAAAAAUCUUGACCGUGGCCUCCUUGUGACAGGAAGGGCGAUGUGAGUGACAGAAGACAGACAUAAAGGAGGCAAGCUAAUACGCAGUGUGAUCACUGGCCAGAUGAAUGAGAAAAACCAGUAAAAAGUGGAGACAUUUAGAGAUUGCCAGAAUGGUGGGAAAAACAGUUUGAGAGCGGCGCUCGCCCGUUCCGGGGCCAGGAAUAGGGAAGGGGAUGUGUGUGGGCUUGAGACAUAGAGCUGCUGCAAGAAAGGAAGCCUACAUUCAGGUAGAGAAAUCUGUGGGUAGAACAGGAAGAAAUAAGCUUGAAGAAGUAAAAGGAAAGACUUAGAUCCAAUGCAAGAAAGGACUUGGCAUGUGUGGGGGCUGGUGAGCCCAGAACAUCUCGCUUUGCCUUCUGGGACACUUGAUCCCUUCCCCACCCUCCCCCUGUCAGGGCAGUCCUGCCUGGAAGAGAUGGGGUGCAGAGUGACGGCUAAAGAAACAAGAAAUCAAUGGAAAAAAAUACCCUAGGGUGAGGAUUAAAAAAAAAAAAGAAAAGAAACAUCUUCAACCAUUUUCCUAAUUCAAACCACUGCGAAACCAUCAGAAAAUAGUGCGUAAGAGGGAUAAGUUCAGAAAUGUGGACGUCGGCCACCACCAGUAUCUACACAACUUUGAUGUGAACACUCAGGUCCUGCCUGAGAGCACCAGACGGAGCCACGUGCUGCAUCAGAGUGGCCCGGAGAUGACCAUGAAGUGACCAUGUUUGUGAAGCUCUAGCUGGAAGGACUGAGCCUGGCCUGAAAAUAGGGUACAUGGAAGGACCUCAGGUCUCCAUCCCCACCUCCUACCGCCUCCUCACCCCCCGACCAAGAAGGGAAAUUUAGAAGGAGGGGUUCAGGGAAAUAAAAAGAGGAAGGUCAUUCUAGAAUGGGAGUCACAUGGGAUGGAGCCUGGGAGCCAAAGUCUCCCGCGAACCCCAGUGCCAACAGUUACUAGCCUUGCAGAUUUCAACUGUUCUUGUGUUUGUGUUUCCUGUAACAGUGGUUACUGCAAACUUUACACAUUCGAUUCAAAAUCACACCGUCACCUGCAUCUCAAAAAUGAUGAAAGUCUUCACCAUCAUCCCUAGUCAAGAUCAAAGACAACAUUGUAUAGCACCUUUAAAAAAAAAAAAAAAGAUUUCAGUGUACUUAAACAGAUGGGCAGGUGAGAUCCAGAGCAGGAACUGAGCUUGUCCGAAUCUUAGAGUUGGGCAGCAGAAAGAUCUCUGUCAGGGCUGAAGAGCCAUCACCAUUCAUGACAGUGAAAUAAGAGGGACCAGUCCUCAUCGUUCUGAAACCCGCCAUCUCUCUAGAGCCAGCGCCUGCCUUCCUUCCCUGGGUUACUACUGUGCAAAGAAAGUUACCUGUAAGAAGGUACUGGGAUUUUCAGGGCUUGAAUACCAGUCAACCUUGUAGAUUGCAUCAAAGAGUAAUCUGGUUAACAAAGUAGUACUAAAAAUAUCGUAACAUUUGAGACAGACUCAAGUUAUUCAUGGUUUAUCUGAAAUUCUAAUUUAACUGGAUGUCUUGUAUUUUAUCUGGCAACGAUACCUGCAGGUAAAACCACCAGGAGAUUCAUCCUAACUCCUCUGGAGUUUCUUAGAUAAAGAUGCAAUA